CGUAGGUAAUCUACCUUCGGGUGGGGAAUAACGCAGGGAAACUUGCGCUAAUACCGCAUAAUGCAGCGGCACCACAUGGUGACAGUUGUUAAAGCGGGGGAUUUUCGGACCUCGCGCCUGAAGAGGAGCCUGCGGCAGAUUAGCUAGUUGGUAGGGUAACGGCUUACCAAGGCGACGAUCUGUAGCCGGCCUGAGAGGGCGGUCGGCCACACUGACACUGACAUACGGGUCAGACUCCUACGGGAGGCAGCAGUCGGGAAUUUUGGGCAAUGGGCGAAAGCCUGACCCAGCAACGCCGCGUGAAGGAUGAAAUCCCUCGGGAUGUAAACUUCGCAAGAAUAGGAAGAAUGAACGAGCGCUAACACCGUUCGUGAUGACGGUACUAUUUGUAAGCUCCGGCUAACUCCGUGCCAGCAGCCGCGGUAAUACGGGGGGAGCAAGCGUUGUUCGGAUUUACUGGGCGUAAAGGGCGCGUAGGCGGCCAGCGCAAGUCAGUUGUGAAAUCUCCGGGCUUAACUCGGAAAGGUCAACUGAUACUGCGCGGCUAGAGUGCGGAAGGGGCAACUGGAAUUCUCGGUGUAGCGGUGAAAUGCGUAGAUAUCGAGAGGAACACCUGCGGC
This 620-nucleotide ribosomal RNA is filed under the name uncultured bacterium. RNAcentral describes it as "bacterial SSU rRNA". It matches the Rfam family "Bacterial small subunit ribosomal RNA", at positions 116 to 716 of the family's 1533-position model. The record is from RNAcentral.